AAGGAUCAUUAAUGAAACUUCAGGAGCUGUUGCUGGCCUUUCGAGGUAUUUCGUGCACGCUCCGCUUUUUCAUCCACACACACCUGUGCACAUUCAUUUUCGGGAGGGAGCGAUCUCUCUCGGGAAUUUUUCACACACACUUAUGAAAAUGUAAAGAACGUUUGUUAUUACAAAAUGUAACAACUUUCAACAACGGAUCUCUUGGCUCUC
RNAcentral lists this unclassified non-coding RNA (210 nucleotides) under uncultured fungus. Its description in RNAcentral is "partial contains 18S rRNA, ITS1, 5.8S rRNA, ITS2 and 28S rRNA". Lineage: Eukaryota; Fungi. The record is from RNAcentral.